CACGUAGGGGGCGAGCGUUGUCCGGAUUUAUUGGGCGUAAAGAGCUCGUAGGCGGCUUUGUCAGUCGGGUGUGAAACCUCCAGGCUCAACCUGGAGCCGCCACCCGAUACUGCAAUAGCUAGAGUCCGGUAGGGGAGCAUGGAACUCCUGGCGUAGCGGUGAAAUGCGCAGAUAUCAGGAAGAACACCAGUGGCGAAGGCGGUGCUCUGGGCCGGAACUGACGCUGAGGAGCGAAAGCGUGGGGAGCAAACAGG
This 254-nucleotide ribosomal RNA is filed under the name uncultured bacterium. Its description in RNAcentral is "partial 16S ribosomal RNA". It matches the Rfam family "Bacterial small subunit ribosomal RNA", at positions 524 to 776 of the family's 1533-position model. The record is from RNAcentral.